RNAcentral lists this microRNA (21 nucleotides) under Drosophila sechellia. Its description in RNAcentral is "dse-miR-4966-3p". The record is from miRBase by way of RNAcentral. Lineage: Eukaryota; Metazoa; Arthropoda; Insecta; Diptera; Drosophilidae.
UGUAAAACAUAUUUAGCACUC